Molecule: non-coding RNA, 208 nt
Organism: Pogona vitticeps (central bearded dragon)
Lineage: Eukaryota; Metazoa; Chordata; Lepidosauria; Squamata; Agamidae
Source: RefSeq, a predicted model, not a curated record
CUUCCGCAGGCUUUGAAGAUGACAGAGGGCAAGGAGCAACGUCCACUGGGAGACAACAAGGCCUGUAUGCUUAUCCAUGGGAUAAAUCCAAUCUGAAAUCAGUACCACUAGACUUGGACCAGUUUAAGAAUCUGGAUGCUUAUGCGUCAAAGGUGAAUGUCAGGAACAGUGUCGAAAAUCUGGUGGACACCUUGCUUCAAAAAGCCCA